UGGUUCUGGCAUCGAUGAAGAACGCAGCGAAAUGCGAUAAGUAAUGCGAAUUGCAGAAUUCCAGUGAGUCAUCGAAUCUUUGAACGCACAUUGCGCCCUUUGGCAUUCCGAAGGGCAUGCCUGUCCGAGCGUCAUUAUCACCCUUCAAGCCCUGUGCUUGGUGUUGGACGGCUUGGUCGAGGCUCCGGCCUCGACCCCUCCCAAAGAUAACGACGGCGGUCCGUGGCACCCCCGGCACACUGAGCUUUUCACCGAGCACGUGUCGGAUCGAGGGCGUCCGGGUCCCGGUCUCCUUUCCCUCGCGGGAAAAACUUUUACAAGGUUGACCUCGGAUCAGGUAGGAAUACGCGCUGA
This 354-nucleotide unclassified non-coding RNA is filed under the name uncultured fungus. RNAcentral's name for it is "partial contains 5.8S ribosomal RNA and internal transcribed spacer 2". The stretch from base 1 to 134 matches the Rfam family "5.8S ribosomal RNA", at positions 22 to 154 of the family's 154-position model. The record is from RNAcentral. Lineage: Eukaryota; Fungi.